GAUGAACGCUGGCGGCGUGCCUAAUACAUGCAAGUCGAACGCUGAAGGAAGGAGCUUGCUCUUUCCGGAUGAGUUGCGAACGGGUGAGUAACGCGUAGGUAACCUGCCUGUUAGUGGGGGAUAACUAUUGGAAACGAUAGCUAAUACCGCAUAACAGUAGAUGUUGCAUGAUAUCUACUUAAAAGGCGCAAUUGCACCACUACCAGAUGGACCUGCGUUGUAUUAGCUAGUUGGUGAGGUAACGGCUCACCAAGGCGACGAUACAGAGACCGCCUGAGAGGGUGGUUGGCCACAACGGGAGUGGGACCCGGCACAGGACGCCUAGGGGGGGAGCAGGAGGGAAACUUCGGCAAUGGACGGAAGUCUGACCGAGCAACGCCGGGGGAGGGAAGAAGGUUUUCGGGUCGUAAAGCUCUGUUGUAAGGGGAGAACCAGUGUGAGAGUGGAAAGUUCACACUGUGACGGUAUCUUACCAGAAAGCGACGGCUAACUACGUG
RNAcentral lists this ribosomal RNA (497 nucleotides) under uncultured bacterium. RNAcentral describes it as "partial 16S ribosomal RNA". It matches the Rfam family "Bacterial small subunit ribosomal RNA", at positions 28 to 507 of the family's 1533-position model. The record is from RNAcentral.